AUUGAACGCUGGCGGCAUGCUUUACACAUGCAAGUCGAACGGCAGCGGGGUAGUGCUUGCACUACUGCCGGCGAGUGGCGAACGGGUGAGUAAUAUAUCGCAACGUACCGAGUAAUGGGGGAUAACCAAUCGAAAGAUUGGCUAAUACCGCAUACGUCCUGAGGGAGAAAGCGGGGGAUCGCAAGACCUCGCGUUAUUCGAGCGGCCGAUAACUGAUUAGCUAGUUGGUGGGGUAAAGGCCUACCAAGGCGACGAUCAGUAGCGGGUCUGAGAGGACGAUCCGCCACACUGGGACUGAGACACGGCCCAGACUCCUACGGGAGGCAGCAGUGGGGAAUUUUGGACAAUGGGGGCAACCCUGAUCCAGCCAUGCCGCGUGUAUGAAGAAGGCCUUCGGGUUGUAAAGUACGUUUGUUAGGGAAGAAAAGGGAAGUGCUAAUACCACUUUUUGCUGACGGUACCUAAAGAAUAAGCACCGGCUAACUACGUG
Molecule: ribosomal RNA, 490 nt
Filed under: uncultured bacterium
Lineage: Bacteria
Description: partial 16S ribosomal RNA
Rfam family: Bacterial small subunit ribosomal RNA
Source: RNAcentral